UCUCCUCCAUUCCACUUUCUCUUUUCUGUGAUUUCUCAUUUUCAUCUCAAAUCUCCUUCCCUAAACCCUAAUCUCCUUUCUUACCACUUCCAAAUUUCAUGUCGACGGCGCCACUAUCACCAUCACUGUCGUCAACAUGUCUCAUCUUCUGUUUAUGUCUUAUUGUAGUCAACACAACACAAUGUUUCAAUGAUUCACAUUAAGAUUUGUAAAAGAUAUGUUCUUAUUCUUCAGAUCUGGGGUUUUGAAUGGUUUUGUUAUUAUUGUAGUUGAACUUCUGAAAUUGAAGAUGAAAAUGGAAACCAUGUGAUUUUUCAAAUGCUUCAUAGGAUGGAGAAAAGUCACAAAGGAAAAACAUAUUUGUUUAUGUUCUGCCAUGAGAAAAAAAUAAGGCAUAUCGAUUAGAUCUGGAGAAAAUGCAGCAGCGACGAUGGUGCGAACAGGGUAGCAGAGCAUUAAAGGGUGGACCCGUCGAAAAUCUUGAAAGUUUUUCGAAAGCAUGGAGAAGUCUUAGUUAUAGUCUGAAAAUAACUCUUGGUAGCAUGGUUUUGCCACUUGGUUCUUUGACUAUUGGAAUAGCUUGACAUCGACCGUUGUUAUUUAAGGUUUCUAUUUGUUUUAAAAGUGGCAAUGAAGGCUUUGAGAAAACAUUGGUAUAUUGCUUCAAAUGACAAGAUUAUGCAAUGAGAUUGCAGAUUUUUCCAUCCAUGUCUGCAUUGGCCCCAUCAGUUUUGUAAUCCAUAAUAAUUUUCUUUUUGCUUUUUUGGUUCUUUCUUUGUGAUUCCAAUGCUCUUUAAAAUAUCCAUGACAAUAACUUUGCAAACAGGCUUUUCCCAUCUGAAAGCAUUUGCGCUGAGGUAUCAAACAACUGGUAGUUGGAAAUUGUAUUUUGACAAUGGGUUCUUGGAGAAGAUGACACCGGUGAUGAAUCACCUAUGUAAUUGCUUCGUUCCCGAAAAGAGAUCAAUUAGCAAUGUUUCAUUGAUCUCCACAUAAGUAAAGAGAUCAUUGUCUUUCUUUACAAAUCCUUAUGUUGCAGAAAUAAAUAAAUUCCCUCUCGCCGACCUUCUAUUGUAUGUGAGAAUUGCAGUUAUUGCGUAGGUAACCGAAAUUACAGCUCCGUACAAUUAGAAAAGAAUCAAUAUAACAUGUCUCUCUUUCUUACUAUUUUAUUAAAGAACACUAAUCCAUCUACUUUAGUAUGGUACAACAAUUAUUCUGGUGUUACAACUAUGAUCCAUGUUAGUUUAUAUACUUUUGGAAAUCAUUAGUUUCAACAUUGUGAAUCUCUUUUGUUGUGACUGGCCAAUUUGGUAAAGGUUGCUUGCAUUUGUACAUGACAUGAUUAUGCCUUUGAACAAAAAGCUUGAGCUGUUGUUGAUAACAUUUGAGAUGACAGUGAAAUAGGUGAUGAGUUUUGAAACAGUGUCAAGAUGCAAGCUUAUUUUGUAGCAAGUAUGUAAAAAACAAAUAUAUCGUGGCCUAGACCCCGGUCGCUGAACUCUAUUGAAUGAUCUAAUUCGGUAUUAUUUUUGUAAUGUUUAAAUGAACUAAUUUGUGAGCAGGCAUGACAAAACGAUAGCGGUUGAUAUCCUGGUGAAAGAUUUGAAAAUAUUUUCAUCAUCUAAUGCAGAUGUGUACAGGGAAAUAACACAUCUAAUAACUCUUAACAACUUCAGGUAAAUGUUCGCUUUCAAAGAUAAGGUUGUAUUUCCUAAAGUGCAGUCAUUGCGGUUGUGUCAGUUGGUUAAUCAAGGUUUGAAUUGGCAGCAUCAACUGUGCCAGUUUCCGAGGCCAAGUUUGGAGAUAAAAACUUUGUUUACCGACCAUGUUUGUUUGACGCCUCAAUAAAUGAACAUCAGUCGCCUACUAACACGUUGCGUCCUGGUGCAGAUGUUCCAAAUAAUCUCUCUUAGAAAACUAAGAAUGGAUCACAGGUAUUAUAUGACUGCAUUUUUUUAUAAGUAGUUGGUUCUAACAACGGUGCAAUUUCGCUUUGGGAGCUCGGGUUGCGGGAAAGGCUGGUUCGAACAACAUGUUCAAGAAAGUUAUCCUUUCAAUAACUUUGUCUCCUCUCCUGUAAGAACAUCAUCAGCUUUUGGAUUUAAUUCAUCUUCUGAUAUGGCUGCAACAUUGAUGAAUUCAAGAUCUUUAGCCUUUGCGAUACGAAGCCAAUGCUCUAUGGACCGCGGUGUGGCAAGACACCAUAUCAGUGCUUCUGAAUCCAACAGAAGGAUGAACUAUAGAUUUUCUGACUGAAUUGCUCAUGAUGGGGAUGAUCUGAACAAGUUCAAAAAGUCUCCUUGGUGCUUGCAACAUACAGCAAAAGUACACUCAUAAUUAAGCUCUGCUGGGUAACCAACUUGCACCAAUAUCAAGUAAGAGUGAAUUUAUGUUUAUUAAAUGUUGAUGGUUAGGUAGGGCAUGCCUUGCACAUAAAAGUUUGAAGGUGAUAUAAAGUCAUAAAUAUUGACCUGAUGUUGUAUGAACAAACUCUAUCGUAGCACUCAGUGCUACUCAUUGCAUUUUCCUCAUCAUAAUAUGGUAUACACAAUGGUUAACUUGAUUACUAUAGUUAUAUUAUUUGGCAGCCCUGUUGGAGAAAAUAAGAGAAGUGGUGAAGUCUAUAUAGACUCUUUGAUGUUGGUGGCCACAUAAAUGAGAGGAGAAAAUGGAUCCAUAUUUGUUGUUAUAUUCUGUCUUGCAAUUAGGGAGUAUGGUCUGACAUUUGAUUUUGAUUUUAAGAGUAAUGUGGUUAAUAAUAACAAUGAUAAAGUGUGUACUACAAAAAUAUCCAACUCAUAUUUUAAAUACUUUCUGUUUGAUUUUAU
This is a long non-coding RNA of Vicia villosa (hairy vetch), 2831 nucleotides long. RefSeq lists it as uncharacterized. The transcript has 7 exons. The record is from RefSeq and is a predicted model, not a curated record. Lineage: Eukaryota; Viridiplantae; Streptophyta; Magnoliopsida; Fabales; Fabaceae.